GAUGAACGCUGACGGCGUGCCUAAUACAUGCAAGUCGAGCGAACAGAUAAGGAGCUUGCUCCUUUGACGUUAGCGGCGGACGGGUGAGUAACACGUGGGUAACCUACCUAUAAGACUGGGAUAACUUCGGGAAACCGGAGCUAAUACCGGAUAACAUUUGGAACCGCAUGGUUCUAAAGUGAAAGAUGGUUUUGCUAUCACUUAUAGAUGGACCCGCGCCGUAUUAGCUAGUUGGUAAGGUAACGGCUUACCAAGGCGACGAUACGUAGCCGACCUGAGAGGGUGAUCGGCCACACUGGAACUGAGACACGGUCCAGACUCCUACGGGAGGCAGCAGUAGGGAAUCUUCCGCAAUGGGCGAAAGCCUGACGGAGCAACGCCGCGUGAGUGAUGAAGGGUUUCGGCUCGUAAAACUCUGUUAUUAGGGAAGAACAAAUGUGUAAGUAACUGUGCACGUCUUGACGGUACCUAAUCAGAAAGCCACGGCUAACUACGUG
This 497-nucleotide ribosomal RNA is filed under the name uncultured bacterium. Its description in RNAcentral is "partial 16S ribosomal RNA". It matches the Rfam family "Bacterial small subunit ribosomal RNA", at positions 28 to 507 of the family's 1533-position model. The record is from RNAcentral.